CCUACGGGAGGCAGCAGUGGGGAAUUUUGGACAAUGGGCGCAAGCCUGAUCCAGCAAUGCCGCGUGUGUGAAGAAGGCCUUCGGGUUGUAAAGCACUUUUGUUCGGGAAGAAAAGAUUCGUGCUAAUACCAUGAGUCGAUGACGGUACCGGAAGAAUAAGCACCGGCUAACUACGUGCCAGCAGCCGCGGUAAUACGUAGGGUGCAAGCGUUAAUCGGAAUUACUGGGCGUAAAGCGUGCGCAGGCGGUUAUGUAAGACGGAUGUGAAAUCCCCGGGCUCAACCUGGGAACUGCAUUUGUGACUGCAUGGCUAGAGUGUGUCAGAGGGGGGUAGAAUUCCACGUGUAGCAGUGAAAUGCGUAGAUAUGUGGAGGAAUACCGAUGGCGAAGGCAGCCCCCUGGGAUAACACCGACGCUCAUGCACGAAAGCGUGGGGAGCAAACAGGAUUAGAUACCCUGGUAGUCCACGCCCUAAACGAUGUCUACUAGUUGUUGGGGAAUUAUAUCCUUAGUAACGCAGCUAACGCGUGAAGUAGACCGCCUGGGGAGUACGGUCGCAAGAUUAAAACUCAAAGGAAUUGACGG
Molecule: ribosomal RNA, 585 nt
Filed under: uncultured bacterium
Lineage: Bacteria
Description: bacterial SSU rRNA
Rfam family: Bacterial small subunit ribosomal RNA
Source: RNAcentral